UCGGGUCUGCCGUUCAAAUUGCAUGUCGGGUCCCGGUCGAUGUCCAUUGCCACGCCUAAAUUAACAAUUUUCUCCCUCCGACGGGGGUCUGGAAAUUUCGGUGUUUUUCUCUCUCUCAACGAAGGUCGGGGACUAGAAUCUCUCUCAGAGAAUUUCUCUUUCCGAAGGACACUCUGUCUCUACUAAGCAUCUCUCUCCUACAAACUCUCUACCCCCAUUGCCUAAAAAUUUCAAAAAACGCAAUUCUCGAGCUAAAGUAUCCGCAAUCUAGCUCCUGGGUCUUCUUCAGAAUUUCAUUUUCUGUCCUCUGCUAGUAAGUUUUUUUCACGAUUUUUAAUGCAUUUCAUGGUUUUCUCCAAUCCUUUUGGUUUCUCCCUCAUAAUUUAUUGGUUAUUUUAUUGAUUUCUUUUAUUGUUCUCUGUGUUUGAAUCUUGAUUUUGCAGGAAGGCUUUCGAUAAAACCAAUGGUUCUUAGCAUGUUUUGAAGGAAACAUCAGCCUCUUGAGGUAUUUAAGCUUUCCCCCCCCCCCCCUCUCUCUCUCUCUCUCUCUCUCUCUCUCUCUCUCUCUCUC
Molecule: long non-coding RNA, 571 nt
Filed under: Amborella trichopoda
Lineage: Eukaryota; Viridiplantae; Streptophyta; Magnoliopsida; Amborellales; Amborellaceae
Description: long non-coding RNA (ATRI_LNC000884)
Source: RNAcentral